RNAcentral lists this microRNA precursor (88 nucleotides) under Dipodomys ordii (Ord's kangaroo rat). RNAcentral describes it as "mir-3473 microRNA precursor family". It matches the Rfam family "mir-3473 microRNA precursor family". Lineage: Eukaryota; Metazoa; Chordata; Mammalia; Rodentia; Heteromyidae. The record is from Rfam by way of RNAcentral.
ACCACUGAGCCACCUUCCCAGCCCUUAAUAUAUUUUUUUUAAUUGUAAAGAUACUGUACAGACGGGGCUGGGAAGGUGGCUCAGUGGU